This 253-nucleotide ribosomal RNA is filed under the name uncultured bacterium. RNAcentral's name for it is "partial 16S ribosomal RNA". It matches the Rfam family "Bacterial small subunit ribosomal RNA", at positions 524 to 776 of the family's 1533-position model. The record is from RNAcentral.
GACAGAGGGUGUAAACGUUGCUCGGAAUCACUGGGCGUAAAGGGCGUGUAGGCGGGAAGGAUAGUCAGAUGUGAAAGCCCUGGGCUCAACCCAGGAACUGCAUUUGAAACUCCCUUUCUUGAGUGUCGGAGAGGAAAGCGGAAUUCCUGGUGUAGAGGUGAAAUGCGCAGAUAUCAGGAGGAACACCGGUGGCGAAGGCGGGUCUCUGGGCAGUAACUGACGCUGAGGAGCGAAAGCGUGGGGAGCGAACAGG